AAAUAGGUCAACUCUUUUUAAAAAGGUCACAGUCAUUAUUAUAAAAGUAAAUAUUACCUCAGGUACAAGCUCUGUUGCUGCCACUCACUCACAUCAGCUGCCCCUCUGCUCCUCCACAGCAAACAUGAGAGCUACUGUUACUGCCCAGGGAAUAUUCUGUAAUAGUUGGUCUUGCUGAUUUGUUCUCUUACUGGUGGCUCAGAUGGUAAGAGUCUGCCUGCAAUGCAGAAGACCUGAGUUCAAUCCCUGGGUCAGGAAGAUCCCCUGAAGAAGGAAAUGGCAACACACUCCAUAUUCUUGCCUGGAAAAUCCCAUGGAUGGAUGAACCUGGUGGGCUACAGUCCAUAGGGUCAAAAAGAGUCGGGCAAGACUGAAUGACUUCACUUCAACCUUCAACAGAUAGGACUAAUGAGAAGAGGAAAGAGAACAUUCCUGUCGGUGCUACUUCAUCAAGGACUCAAGAGUCAGUGUGCAGAAUGCUACAGAAAAGUGUUACCACAGCAGUGAGAAGUAUAAUGUGGUUAAUGGGUGCAGUUCUCAGUACGAGGGUAGAACUACACAGAGAACUGAGGCUGUAGUCAGAGAAAAGAGAUUCAAGAUGGAAGGUGUCUGGCUGCCUCAAUCAUCACAUGGGAAAAAGCAGGCCAUGACUACACUGAGCCAUUAUGUGAGUGGAAAAUGAAUGUUUAUUAUGUUAAGUCACUGAAAAUUUAGAGGUUUUCUUCUUUAGA
Molecule: long non-coding RNA, 731 nt
Filed under: Bos indicus x Bos taurus (hybrid cattle)
Lineage: Eukaryota; Metazoa; Chordata; Mammalia; Artiodactyla; Bovidae
Description: lncRNA (ENSBIXG00000003870.1)
Source: RNAcentral